RNAcentral lists this ribosomal RNA (245 nucleotides) under uncultured bacterium. RNAcentral's name for it is "partial 16S ribosomal RNA". It matches the Rfam family "Bacterial small subunit ribosomal RNA", at positions 524 to 768 of the family's 1533-position model. The record is from RNAcentral.
UACGUAGGAUGCAAGCGUUGUCCGGAUUUAUUGGGCGUAAAGAGCGCGUAGGUGGUGUCUUAAGUUGGGCGUGAAAUCUCCCGGCUUAACUGGGAAGGGUCGUCCAAAACUAAGAUGCUUGAGGGCAGCAGAGGAAAGUGGAAUUCCGGGUGUAGUGGUGAAAUGCGUAGAUAUCCGGAGGAACACCAGUGGCGAAGGCGGCUUUCUGGGCUGUUCCUGACACUGAGGCGCGAAGGCUAGGGUAG